AAGGGCACCACAAGAACGCGUGGAGCAUGUGGCUUAAUUUGACUCAACGCGGGAAAUCUUACCGGGUCCGGACACACUGAGGAUUGACAGGCAAUAUUAAUACGCAGUUCGCUGCGUAUUAUGUUAAAUAUGCUAGUCCUUUCAUGAUUAUGUGAUAGGUGGUGCAUGGCCGUUCUUAGUUCGUGGAGUGAUCUGUCUGCUUAAUUGCGUUUCACUAAGGACCUAUACAUUACAUGUGUUGCGGCACUUUGACCCCUCUUCGGAGCGCGUGUCUUAGCUGUUUAGCUCGCAUAAUUAGGUCCUGAAAGCAACGAACGUGACCGCAACCUCUUGUUGCCUUUAUCCCAAACAUGUUUGCUAUUUAUAGCAUUCAUGAAAAAAGGCUUUUUAAACUAGAGGGACCGCUGUUACUUUCUUAAACCAGAGGAAGGUUGCGGCAAUAACAGGUCUGUGAUGCCCUUAGAUGUUCCGGGCUGCACACGUGCUACAAUGAUUGUUGCAGUGAGCAUCUCAUUUUUACACACCGCAUGCGCGAGUCCAUUUAUUCACUUCGGUGCUUUAAAUGUGUAUUUCUGCGCGCGGUAAAGCCUGCUUCGAAAGUAAGUGGGUAAUCAAUUAGAAGUAACGAUUUCCUUUAGCACACAUAUAUACGGCGUCUACACCCGGGUUGCCUUGUUGUAACUUCUGUGCGUGUAGAUGUUUUUUCCGUAUGUGCGAUUGUCAAUUCAUGGUGGGGACAGACCAUUGUUAAUUGUUGGUCUCGGUCUUAACUAGGAAUGCCUUGUACGGGUCUUUGGUUCAACAAACCACCCGGAAUACGUCCCUGCGCUUUGUACACACCGCCCGUCGCUCUUACCGAUGAACUUCUCUGUGAGUUUGAGGGACUGGGAUCGCAGAUUUAUCUGCACUACCUAUGGAAACUUAAACGAACAGUGUGGUUUAAAGGAAAGAGAAGUCGUAACAAGGCAUCGGUAGGUGAACCUGCAGAAGGAUCA
Molecule: ribosomal RNA, 995 nt
Filed under: Oridorsalis umbonatus
Lineage: Eukaryota; Foraminifera; Rotaliida; Alabaminidae
Description: bacterial SSU rRNA
Rfam family: Eukaryotic small subunit ribosomal RNA
Source: RNAcentral